GGCAACCUGGUGUAAUGGUUUGAGCAUUGGACUAUGACUCUGGAGACCAAGGUUCGAAUCCCUACUUAGCCA
Non-coding RNA from Phrynosoma platyrhinos (Desert horned lizard), 72 nucleotides. NCBI's taxonomy places the organism in Eukaryota, Metazoa, Chordata, Lepidosauria, Squamata, Phrynosomatidae. The record is from the annotation of a GenBank genome assembly.